This 494-nucleotide ribosomal RNA is filed under the name uncultured bacterium. RNAcentral describes it as "partial 16S ribosomal RNA". It matches the Rfam family "Bacterial small subunit ribosomal RNA", at positions 28 to 523 of the family's 1533-position model. The record is from RNAcentral.
GAUGAACGCUGGCGGCGUGCCUAACACAUGCAAGUCGAACGGAGUUAUUAUUAUGAAGUUUUCGGAUGGAUUAAUAAUAACUUAGUGGCAGACGGGUGAGUAACGCGUGGGUAACCUGCCUCAUACAGGGGGAUAACAGUUGGAAACGACUGCUAAAACCGCAUAACAUUGCGAUGUCGCAUGACAAUGCAAUUAAAUAUUUAUAGGUAUGAGAUGGGCCCGCGUCUGAUUAGCUAGUUGGUGGGGUAAUGGCCUACCAAGGCGACGAUCAGUAGCCGGCUUGGGAGAGUGACCGGCUACAUUGGGACUGAGACACGGCCCAAACUCCUACGGGAGGCAGCAGUAGGGAAUAUUGCACAAUGGGGGAAACCCUGAUGCAGCGACGCCGCGUGAGUGAAGAAGUAUUUCGGUAUGUAAAGCUCUAUCAGCAGGGAAGAAAAUGACGGUACCUGAAUAAGAAGCCCCGGCUAACUACGUGCCAGCCGCCGCCGUAA